Molecule: long non-coding RNA, 310 nt
Filed under: Brassica napus (rape)
Lineage: Eukaryota; Viridiplantae; Streptophyta; Magnoliopsida; Brassicales; Brassicaceae
Description: long non-coding RNA (BNAP_LNC020757)
Source: RNAcentral
UAGAGGUCUGAGACGGUGGCGAGUCUUGGGAUGCCUAAUCUUGAGUGAGGCUGGAGUUGAAGAAAAUCUGAUAUAUUUCCAUAAGGGGACCAAUUAUCGCUCCAAAAACGAGUAUGUCUUCCAUUUCCUAGCUUGACAUGAAUCCAAUUGUAGACCAAUGGCCUUAAGCGAAGAAAGCGCUUGACAAGCCAGGAAUGAUUAUUUGAUUCUUUGAUUAUCCAGAAAUUGGAGCGAUCGCCAGAUAGAAUUUCUUCAACAAACCAAGCUACCCAUAUUGAACCAGAGCUGAAGAACAAUAGCCAGAUGAGCC